Non-coding RNA from Nelumbo nucifera (sacred lotus), 3340 nucleotides. NCBI's taxonomy places the organism in Eukaryota, Viridiplantae, Streptophyta, Magnoliopsida, Proteales, Nelumbonaceae. The record is from RefSeq and is a predicted model, not a curated record.
GCUCGUGUGCCAAUCCUGUUGCAGUAGUCUUGUCCCAAAAUCCUAUCUUUAAUGGCUGAUUUUUGUACAUGACCAACUUCUUAGUUGCUAAUUCUCACUCCUCACGUUGUUCGCAGUUUUUCAUUAUUUGAGAGUAGAAAGGGAAAUUUAGACCAAAUAGACUUAUCCACUCUAAAGCUAUCCUCGAUGGUUAUUAUCAAAAAAUAGACUCCCUCAUUUCCUUCAAUUAUCUAGCACUGUACUUCUGGUUUUUCUCGAUCCUUUAGUUUUCAUUGUCUACUAGUUUGUUUACGAAGAAAGUAGUUUUGGAGUUUUCAUCUUAUAGUAUGCUGAUUAAGUUGAAGAACUUUAUUGAAGAAUAGGAUAGACUGAUAGUUGCUCCAGAUGUGAAAUAAGUAUUGGGCACCUUCUGUGUUGCAGCUGAACUAGGAAGUGGUUGUCUUGGAUCAUAUGUGAUUUCCAUGGCCUUAUGGCCUCUAAUUCUUGCCAUUUCCCAGGCUGCUGGGAUGUCAGUGGGUUGGGUUAACUGGUAAACCCGCACUGAUCCCAAAUAUAGGUCGGAUUAGUCUUAAUCGGGUUUCAUGUUGAGGUGGUGAGUGAACUUGCAGAUGUGCAUUGUCCUAUUUUGGAGAUGUUUACAGAAUCCACAGUUGCUCGAGUUGGAAUAAGUAUACAAAGGGCCAUAUAGCUUGUAGUGACUAUGAGGGAAGUUAGUAGAAAAACAGGCCCGCCUUGUCACCAUGUCGAAAGGAAGCUCAAGAGCUGGAAACUGCAGUCAUGGAGAUGGUCAAGCAGGAUAAUUGUUGACAAAUGAGUGCAAGGGUGGAGCAGUUGGAGAAAGAGAUAGCAGAGCUACGGCAGGCCCUAUCAGAUAAACAGGAAUAAGAGUGUUCCAUGCUUCAGGUCCUAAUGCGGGUGAGCAAGAGCAAAUGGUAACAGAGGAUGCUCGCAGAUUAGCGGAAUAAGAUGCAGCUACUCGGAGAUAUGCUGCCAACGUGCUUCAGAUGGGAAUGCAGUAGAUGGCUUCCCUUUAUCGUAUGAGGAGGAUAAAAAAUCUUGCAGUUGGAAGAAAAUUGAGACUGUACCUACUUUGCCAUAUUUCUGAAGUUCCAGGAUGUCAAUACAAGGUACUUAUGAACAAGAGAAGGAGCUCAGAUGCUGAGAAGUACAUACACUAUGGGAUUACGGGUUCAGUACAACUGGAAGAGGUCCUUGCUCUGAUGGGACCCUCAGGUGGUGGUAAAACGACUUAAUCUCCUCAGUGGAAGGGUGACAGGAUUGGUUUUGUGAUGCAAGAUGAUGAUGUUUUUCCUCACCUCACAGUAAAAGAGACUCUAACAUAUGCUUCUCUUCUACGUCUUCCCAAAGCACUUACCAAACAACAGAAAGAAGAAAGAGCCAUGAAUGUUCUAACUUCUAAGAGAACUCGACCUUGAACGGUGACUUCUCAACUUUGUCUGUUAAGAUUAAUGUGGUAUUAGGUAAAAGUUCAUUAGUUGCAGAAUUCAUUUAUUGAUAUGAGAAUGCUAAAUUAUGAUGCCUCCACAAAUGCCUUGUUUUUAUACAUUUUUUAUGGACAUCUCAUUGACUUUACAGUUUACAUUCUCUAACAAUUUAUAUGUUAGAGAAUAUGUGUUACAAUAUUCGAUGUGGAUUUGUUGCACGUCCAUAAUGGUUGCAGGUCCAACCAUUAUGUUAGGUGGAUUUGCAUUGAAAUAUGUGUUACAAUAUUUGAGAAAUUGAAUUUUUUGAAGUCCUUGUAUUUUUUAUAUGUCAAAUGGAUAUUGUAUCUAGAUCUGAUCUGGCGGUUCAGACCACCGCCCAAAGAACCAGAAGAUGUUGGGCAAAACCUAAUUUGGCAGUUAACUAGGAUUAAAACCGUUUUUCUUAUAGUGAAUAUUCUGAGUUUAAUUGCACCUCUGAAGUUUCGGUCAGCCUGUUUCAGUGUAUGUGUGAUCUGUUUUACACGUAUGUAAGACAUUUGUCACAAACUGAACAGAACAAUUGUAGAUCGCAUGUCCAACAAUCCUCGUAGCAGUUUCAGUCGUUAAUUGAAAGAUCUCUAUCUUGUCAUUCAUAGAGAUAUGUUGGUCUGAGGAGCAAAACUGUUUCGGCGAGUAUGGAUUCAGCCCACACAAAACUGUCCUUACACCGUAUUCAUAGCCUUUUUGUAGCAGUGCAUCGGGAAUGACUCCGGAUCUCUUGCCCGCAGGAACUCUGCUCACAAGUCACAUCUACCCACAACAUAUCACCUCCAUGCAUUUGGAACAUCUUAUAUAGGAGGAUGAGAUGUUCCCACUUCUGGCUAUAAUGUUAUGUGGGUAGACGUAGACAGUUCUUAUGUGCAGGAGAUCUGAAUUCAUUGAAAAAACUUAGUAUUUAUAUGUUUAGAUUGGAAGGGAGAUAUUCCCAAUGCAAAGCUAGUAAGUUGCUGUGACUUUGUGAGCAGUGUGAAAGCGGUUCUACGAGUACUUAAUCUGAAUUCCUAGGAGGCGAGGGGUCUUUGUCUAUAGACGCUCACAGGGCGGUCAUCAACCCUAAGUAACUAUAUUUUUCAGAAAUUUAAAAUAUCAGUUUGGAAAGAGUAGAAUUUUACAGAUAUAUACCGUGAAAAUACAAGGUUUAGAAAUAAGGAAUGCAUCACCUGAACAACUGUAAACUUUUUGGAAAGCAUUUUUGUUUAUGGAUGCUUUCCAACAAAGGACAAAGCCCUUAAUGAUAUCUGAUUAUGGUUUUGUUGGAUUGUAAGGCACUCUCCUAAUGAAUAAAAGUAUUAAAACCCACAAACUUCUCACUGAAUUGAAUCAUGAUGAUUCAAAUAAAGCAAAAGACGAGUUGAAUCCAAUUAGCAUCUUACUAUUCAACCUUUAACAUGAAUUCACAAGAUAUAUAUAAGAGAGAGAGAGAUCUUACAAACACUUCUCAGUGUUUCAACAACUCUCGUUACACGAAAAUUUGAAAAGUAGAAUAUGGAUUAGCCAUUUUGGAAUUGGGAUUUGUCGAAGAAUCCCUUUAUUGUAUAUAAAGAAAACUAGAAAAGUGAAAGUAUAAAAGCUAAAGCUUAGCUAAAACGGAGGUGGAGGACCUGGUGGCCUCCGAGGAGGUGGAGGGGCGAACGGAUCCAAGUGUGGCGGAGGAGGAUGUGGUCCCGGUGGUGGUGGUGGACCGAAGGGACCUGGCGGACCUGGUGGUGGCGGAGGACCCUGAGGACCUGGUGGUGGUGGUGGAGACGGCCCGGCUGGCCCUGGAGGUGGCGGUGGUGGUGCAAAAGGAGCAGGUGGUGGAGGGUGUCGAUGAUGGGCCAUGAUAAAGAGGGGGUGCAAAAAUGCUUCUGGGAAGA